GUCUGACAAAGGCAAACCGUGCGAAAGCACGGGACGCAAAGUCGACGGUCUAACGGCGCGCAAGCGUCUAUGACGGCUGGACUGCCAGA
Molecule: non-coding RNA, 89 nt
Filed under: Duganella sp. Root198D2
Lineage: Bacteria; Pseudomonadati; Pseudomonadota; Betaproteobacteria; Burkholderiales; Oxalobacteraceae
Also listed under: 1 other name
Description: c-di-GMP-I riboswitch aptamer
Rfam family: c-di-GMP-I riboswitch aptamer
About the family: GEMM was predicted in a large-scale screen for bacterial structured RNA regulatory elements.
Source: Rfam by way of RNAcentral